AAGUCGUAACAAGGUUUCCGUAGGUGAACCUGCGGAAGGAUCAUUAACACGUAUCCAACGUUAAACCCCCCUGUGAACUGUAUAUCGUGCUCAAUCAGCAAUCUCUGGUAAAUCAUUGUCGAACAGCUUUUGAUUCAGAGACUUCUGCCUUCACUGCGGAAGCUACCGGUCCAAUCGAGCGCUGGAAUCAGUGGUUUGGUUUCCCCUCAAACCACUAUGAAUGGGGAGGUCGAAUAACGCAGGCUAGAGGCCCCCCACGGACCGGCGUCCAAAUCACCGAGCGCAAGCUCCCCUAAAACCACAUGUCAGCGUAGGCCCUUCUGUCGUGGUUGGGCGUAAAAACGAACAACUGUUAACAAUGGAUAUCUUGGUUCUC
This 376-nucleotide unclassified non-coding RNA is filed under the name fungal sp. Its description in RNAcentral is "partial internal transcribed spacer region". The stretch from base 1 to 46 matches the Rfam family "Eukaryotic small subunit ribosomal RNA", at positions 1786 to 1831 of the family's 1831-position model. Lineage: Eukaryota; Fungi. The record is from RNAcentral.